This 340-nucleotide ribosomal RNA is filed under the name uncultured Acetivibrio sp. RNAcentral describes it as "bacterial SSU rRNA". It matches the Rfam family "Bacterial small subunit ribosomal RNA", at positions 355 to 701 of the family's 1533-position model. The record is from RNAcentral. Lineage: Bacteria; Bacillati; Bacillota; Clostridia; Acetivibrionales; Acetivibrionaceae.
UCGGGAAUAUUGCGCAAUGGAGGAAACUCUGACGCAGUGACGCCGCGUGCAGGAAGAAGGUUUUCGGAUUGUAAACUGCUUUAGACAGGGAAGAAAAAAUGACAGUACCUGUAGAAUAAGCUCCGGCUAACUACGUGCCAGCAGCCGCGGUAAUACGUAGGGAGCAAGCGUUAUCCGGAUUUAUUGGGUGUAAAGGGUGCGUAGACGGGAAAUUAAGUUAGUUGUGAAAUCCCUCGGCUUAAACUGAGGAACUGCAACUAAAACUGAUUUUCUUGAGUGCUGGAGUGUCGGAGAGGUAAGUGGAAUUCCUAGUGUAGCGGUGAAAUGCGUAGAUAUUAGG